CGAACGACGCUGGCGGCAGGCUUAACACAUGCAAGUCGAACGGGUGCAGCAAUGCAUCAGUGGCAGACGGGUGAGUAACACGUGGGAACCUUCCUAGGGGUACGGAACAACUCAGGGAAACUUGAGCUAAUACCGUAUACGUCCGUGAGGAGAAAGAUUUAUCGCCCUUAGACGGGCCCGCGUCGGAUUAGCUAGUUGGUGGGGUAACGGCCUACCAAGGCGACGAUCCGUAGCUGAUCUUAGAGGAUGAUCAGCCACACUGGGACUGAGACACGGCCCAGACUCCUACGGGAGGCAGCAGUGGGGAAUCUUGGACAAUGGGCGCAAGCCUGAUCCAGCCAUGCCGCGUGAGUGAAGAAGGUCUUCGGAUUGUAAAGCUCUUUUGCCAGGGACGAUAAUGACGGUACCUGGAGAAUAAGCCCCGGCAAACUUCGUG
RNAcentral lists this ribosomal RNA (436 nucleotides) under uncultured bacterium. RNAcentral describes it as "bacterial SSU rRNA". It matches the Rfam family "Bacterial small subunit ribosomal RNA", at positions 33 to 507 of the family's 1533-position model. The record is from RNAcentral.